RNAcentral lists this ribosomal RNA (258 nucleotides) under uncultured bacterium. RNAcentral describes it as "partial 16S ribosomal RNA". It matches the Rfam family "Bacterial small subunit ribosomal RNA", at positions 1245 to 1500 of the family's 1533-position model. The record is from RNAcentral.
GGAAGCGAAACCGCGAGGUAGAGCAAAUCCCCAAAAAACCGGUACUCAGUUCGGAUUGCAGGCUGCAACUCGCCUGUAUGAAGUCGGAAUUGCUAGUAAUCGCGGAUCAGCAUGCCGCGGUGAAUACGUUCCCGGGCCUUGUACACACCGCCCGUCACACCAUGAGAGCCGGGAACACCCGAAGUCCGUAGUCUAACCGCAAGGAGGACGCGGCCGAAGGUGGGUUUGGUAAUUGGGGUGAAGUCGUAACAAGGUACC